Molecule: transfer RNA, 73 nt
Filed under: Podarcis lilfordi (Lilford's wall lizard)
Lineage: Eukaryota; Metazoa; Chordata; Lepidosauria; Squamata; Lacertidae
Description: tRNA.Ile
Source: RNAcentral
GCCUGGAUAGCUCAGUUGGUGAGAACGUGGUCCUGAUAACGGCAAGGUUGCAGGUUUGAUCCCCGUAUGGAUA